This 488-nucleotide long non-coding RNA is filed under the name Athene cunicularia (burrowing owl). RNAcentral's name for it is "lncRNA (ENSACUG00000003523.1)". Lineage: Eukaryota; Metazoa; Chordata; Aves; Strigiformes; Strigidae. The record is from RNAcentral.
GUGGAGGUGAUUCCUGGCCAAAAUAGGCAACCUGGCCCCCCAGUGAGUAUCAUACUCCAGGUGUGGUGGACCCUUCAGCCUCUCAAGGGCUGGCAGAGAAGCAAAGGGAGCUGGGAGAGAGCCCACAUCCCUCCCUCUCCUGGUUCUCGUUGUUGCAGGGACAGAAAGGGCAGCCAGGUGUUCCUGGGGUGGCAGGACCACCAGGUUUACCAGGGCCACAGGGGCCACCAGGGAUCUCCAUCAAGGGUGACCCAGGGGAUUCAGGUGUCAGGGGCCCUCGUGGGAGGAAUGGCCUCAAGGGUGACAGAGGAGGCAUGGGAGAGCCGGGGAAACCUGGCUUGCCGGGCCCUGUAGGGCUAGAUGGUGUUCCUGGAUUGCCUGGACCAAGAGGAGAAAAGGUCAUUACUCGUAUCCGAUGCUUGCUGAAUCCAUCAGCCCAAGGAGGAACUGAGAAUAGCUGAGACAAAGUAAUAGCAGGGUAGACACUA